Molecule: ribosomal RNA, 492 nt
Filed under: uncultured bacterium
Lineage: Bacteria
Description: bacterial SSU rRNA
Rfam family: Bacterial small subunit ribosomal RNA
Source: RNAcentral
UACGAUACGAGUUUGAUCCUGGCUCAGAAUCAACGCUGGCGGCGUGCCUCAGACAUGCAAGUCGAACGAUUAAAGCUCUCUUCGGAGAGUGUAUAGAGUGGCGCACGGGUGAGUAACACGUAAGUAAUCUACCCUCGAGUGGGGAAUAACAACCGGAAACGGUUGCUAAUACCGCAUAAUGCAGCGGCACCGCAAGGUGACAGUUGUUAAAGAUUUAUCGCUUGAGGAGGAGCUUGCGGCAGAUUAGCUAGUUGGUAGGGUAACGGCUUACCAAGGCUACGAUCUGUAACCGGUCUAAGAGGACGGUCGGUCACACUGACACUGAAUAACGGGUCAGACUCCUACGGGAGGCAGCAGUCGGGAAUUUUGGGCAAUGGGCGAAAGCCUGACCCAGCAACGCCGCGUGAAGGAUGAAGUAUUUCGGUAUGUAAACUUCGAAAGAAUAGGAAGAAUUAAUGACGGUACUAUUUAUAAGGUCCGGCUAACUACGUG